CAGCCGUAAACUAUGCGCGUUAGGUGUACUGGUGACCACGAGUCACCGGGUGCCGAAGGGAAACCGUGAAACGUGCCGCCUGGGAAGUACGGUCGCAAGGCUGAAACUUAAAGGAAUUGGCGGGGGAGCACCACAACGGGUGGAGCCCGCGGUUUAAUUGGACUCAACGCCGGAAAUCUCACCGGAUAGGACAGACAUAUGAUAGUCGGGCUGAAGACUCUACUUGAUGAUCUGAGAGGUGGUGCAUGGCGUCAGUGACU
Molecule: ribosomal RNA, 260 nt
Filed under: uncultured archaeon
Lineage: Archaea
Description: partial 16S ribosomal RNA
Rfam family: Archaeal small subunit ribosomal RNA
Source: RNAcentral